RNAcentral lists this long non-coding RNA (1184 nucleotides) under Homo sapiens (human). RNAcentral's name for it is "long intergenic non-protein coding RNA 2395". The record is from RNAcentral. Lineage: Eukaryota; Metazoa; Chordata; Mammalia; Primates; Hominidae.
GGUACAACAGAGACAGCUGUUUGUCCCCCAGUAUCCUUCAGACAAAGCCAUAUAUGAUUGAAGGUUAUCAGUACUGUGCUUUUGGAGGAUUCAGAAGAAGUUAUAUCUGAUUGGGAGAUUGAAAAGGAUUGGCCUGAAGGAGAGGUGGUUUUUGAACUGCAUCUUAAAGGAUGAGGAAACUGAGGCUGAGAGGGUAGAGAACUUUGCCUGAGGUCACUCAGCAGGGACCCACCCAUCACAGUAAAUGCCAGCACUGCUGAUGCCAAAACAAUGUUAUUUGUAGGCCCUCGGAAUUUGUGACCUGAAGGAAGAAGAGCAGGGCCGUGGGAAGUAUGUAACCAGUGUCAUGCCCCUGGUCCCAAGGAAGCAGUGGCUUGGUAAAGAGGGGACCCCCGUCAAUAACUCCCUGUAAUUACUGGGCACCCACUCUGAGCUCCUCAGUGGAAUCCUAAGGUUAAUAAGACUGUCUCUAGCCACUGGGGCUCCCAGCCUGGAGUGAGGCCUGAACACCCUGUCCUACCUGGUCCUACCUGGAUGCUGGCCUCAGUAAGCUCCUGGGCUCAUUGAAGAUGAACCUAGCAGUAGUAUUUACACCACUUGUUGUGUGCCCACUGUGGGCCCGGCGCCAUGCCGAGUGCUCUAUGGAUGUGAGUGCUGGGAGAGAAAAGCAUACGACAUAGACAGGGAGGUCAAGCUCCACCACGCAGAUGAGGUGCAGGCCACCAGUCUUCCUCUGCCACAUCUCUUUCUGAAAAGGACUUCACAUUCACCCUUGCAAUCCAUGUGGGGACACUGUUGGAUAGGAGGCGUGGUCCCAGCGUGGUCUCCCUGUCUGGGCCUCUGCCUAUGCCAAAUGUUUGCCUUACGCUGCACACUCAAGAGGUUCCAUGUAUACAGAUGGGAAUUCCAGAGCUACAGAAAAGGCAGCAAGCACCAUGAUUUAAGCUAACCAGUGUGGAUUCACACCUUCCUCUCUCUCUAUCAGUGGCAGAACUACCAGCUAGAGUAAGAAGUGGUUGAUCCAGGACCUAAACAUUCUGGAAACUCUUGCCCACUUCUGGGAGAAAUGACCCAAUCCAUAGUACUAAGCACACCUUAACUUUCGUAGGACGCAGGCAAGUUGUCAUACCGUGUGCCUAAAUAUAGAAAAAUGAUCCACUGGACUAAUAAAGUGUUAAAUAAAA